This 1031-nucleotide long non-coding RNA is filed under the name Lathyrus oleraceus (garden pea). Its description in RNAcentral is "Pisum sativum (pea) long non-coding RNA (PSAT_LNC003477)". The record is from RNAcentral. Lineage: Eukaryota; Viridiplantae; Streptophyta; Magnoliopsida; Fabales; Fabaceae.
UCCAUGUCAGUUUUAAUAGAUCCCCACGGUGGAAGCCAACUAUAUUUGUUAGAAAUACAAUACGUGACAAUCCCUUAUGGAUAUAGAUUAUUCUUAAGAAACCCUUGCACCGCCUCCUAUAGACCCUUUAUAAGUAUACCAGUAUAACACUAUUGCAUGUCUAGGGUUGAAUUUGAACCCAAGACUUCUAGUUUAACUGAAAGUCAUCCGAUAAGUUAGAUGCUAUCUUUUAUAUAUAUUUUCUCAAAAGAAAAAAAAAUGUUUUUGGAAUAAGAAAAUGACAUUAAGACUAAAACAAUGAGUUCAUGCAUUUAAAAACUACACAGUGUAGUGACAAUCAUUAUACACAUUAGAGAUUGAUACAUAGUGUAGUGACAAUCAUUAUCACAUCAUUGAACAUAGAUUAUGAACUUGAAAGAACUAAUUGAAAUAACCACGAAACAUGAACACUCUUGAUUGACUUAAAAGUACUGAGCCUCUUGAGUAUGUUCUGGCUUUCCUGCUACAUAAUCCAAGAGUCCUUCACCAGCUUUUUCACCAUGAGUGUCACUUGAGAAUUUAGAAACACCUCCAAAGGCAAUUAUUGAUAUCAAGAAGACAGUAGUGGAAGCAAAUAAAGGCCAAAAAUAAGCCAGAAUCGUUAGAAAAUGUGGUGCUGCAUAUAUCACCAAGGAAAAUAAUAUUGAAAUUAAUAUUGCUAUUGUUAUAGGGUAUCUGUAUUUUAGAAGCUUUUCUGAUACAUCCAUGGUUUCUUGAAUUGUACUUUUACUGCAAAGAGGAGGAAGAAGAUUGGGAAAAGGUGAAGAAAGGAAGAGAAUGUGGUGAUUUCUUAGUGUUUGUAAGUAUAAUAUAUGUGAAGAGAUUCUAUGUUUGAAUUAAUGUUCUUAUUGGCUUUUCAAAGUUUGCUUGGUCCAUAUGCAACUUAUUUUCCAAAAGGCAUUUCUAUAUUUCCCAAAUUACCCUUUCAAUAAUAUGUGGUUAAAUCUAUUUUCUUAAUUUAAAAAAUAUAUUAUGGAGUAAAUAUUUAAAUC